RNAcentral lists this ribosomal RNA (501 nucleotides) under uncultured bacterium. Its description in RNAcentral is "partial 16S ribosomal RNA". It matches the Rfam family "Bacterial small subunit ribosomal RNA", at positions 30 to 523 of the family's 1533-position model. The record is from RNAcentral.
AUUGAACGCUGGCGGCAGGCUUAACACAUGCAAGUCGAGCGGAGAUGAGGUGCUUGCACCUUAUCUUAGCGGCGGACGGGUGAGUAAUGCUUAGGAAUCUGCCUAUUAGUGGGGGACAACAUUCCGAAAGGAAUGCUAAUACCGCAUACGUCCUACGGGAGAAAGCAGGGGAUCUUCGGACCUUGCGCUAAUAGAUGAGCCUAAGUCGGAUUAGCUAGUUGGUGGGGUAAAGGCCUACCAAGGCGACGAUCUGUAGCGGGUCUGAGAGGAUGAACCGCCAAACUGGGACUGAGACACGGCCCAUACUCCUACGGGAGGCAGCAGUGGGGAAUAUGGGACAAUGGGGGGAACCCUGAUCCAGCCAUGCCGCGUGUGUGAAGAAGGCCUUAUGGUUGUAAAGCACUUUAAGCGAGGAGGAGGCUACUGAGACUAAUACUCUUGGAUAGUGGACGUUACUCGCAGAAUAAGCACCGGCUAACUCUGUGCCAGCCGCCGCCGUAA